AGCCCCGUACACAAAAGCGCACAUGUUGUGAGCUCGAUGAGUAGGGCGGGACACGUGGUAUCCUGUCUGAAUAUGGGGGGACCAUCCUCCAAGGCUAAAUACUCCUGACUGACCGAUAGUGAACCAGUACCGUGAGGGAAAGGCGAAAAGAACCCCGGCGAGGGGAGUGAAACAGAACCUGAAACCGUGUACGUACAAGCAGUGGGAGCCCCACCACUAAGCCAGUGGUGAACUCCACAUACGCAUCCUUUGCGGAAGAUGCGGUUAACGGAGCGAAAGCGACGUUCAACCUCAGAAGAAGCAGAGGGGGCUUAGUGGUGGGGUGACUGCGUACCUUUUGUAUAAUGGGUCAGCGACUUAUAUUCUGUAGCAAGGUUAACCGCAUAGGGGAGCCGAAGGGAAACCGAGUCUUAAC
RNAcentral lists this ribosomal RNA (415 nucleotides) under Salmonella enterica. Its description in RNAcentral is "partial 23S ribosomal RNA". It matches the Rfam family "Bacterial large subunit ribosomal RNA", at positions 369 to 688 of the family's 2925-position model. The record is from RNAcentral. Lineage: Bacteria; Pseudomonadati; Pseudomonadota; Gammaproteobacteria; Enterobacterales; Enterobacteriaceae.